UACGUAGGUGGCAAGCGUUGUCCGGAGUUACUGGGCGUAAAGGGCGCGUAGGCGGCGAUCCAAGUUAGGCGUGAAAGCCCCGGGCUUAACCUGGGAAUAGCGCUUAAGACUGGACUGCUUGAGUGCGGGAGAGGUGAGUGGAAUUCCCAGUGUAGAGGUGAAAUUCGUAGAUAUUGGGAAGAACACCAGUGGCGAAGGCGGCUCACUGGCCCGCAACUGACGCUGAGGCGCGAAAGCGUGGGGAGCAAACAGG
This 253-nucleotide ribosomal RNA is filed under the name uncultured bacterium. RNAcentral describes it as "partial 16S ribosomal RNA". It matches the Rfam family "Bacterial small subunit ribosomal RNA", at positions 524 to 776 of the family's 1533-position model. The record is from RNAcentral.